This 325-nucleotide ribosomal RNA is filed under the name uncultured eukaryote. RNAcentral's name for it is "partial 18S ribosomal RNA". It matches the Rfam family "Eukaryotic small subunit ribosomal RNA", at positions 1470 to 1796 of the family's 1831-position model. The record is from RNAcentral.
CCCUUAGAUGUUCUGGGCCGCACACGCGCUACAAUGGUGAAUUCAACAAGUCAACCAAAGCCGAUAGGUGGAGGUAAACUCGUAGUAUUCGCCGUGAUGGGGAUAGACCCUUGUAAUUAUUGGUCUCCAACGAGGAAUUCCUAGUAGACGCAAGUCAUCAACUUGCAUCGAUUACGUCCCUGCCCUUUGUACACACCGCCCGUCGCUCCUACCGAUUGAAUGAUCCGAUGAAUAUCAUGGAUUGAGGAUGCAAGCAGGUUCGCCUGUCUUCAUCUUCGAGAAGUGAAGUAAAUCUUAUCAUUUAGAGGAAGGAGAAGUCGUAACA